Molecule: ribosomal RNA, 404 nt
Filed under: uncultured bacterium
Lineage: Bacteria
Description: bacterial SSU rRNA
Rfam family: Bacterial small subunit ribosomal RNA
Source: RNAcentral
UAUUGCACAAUGGGCGCAAGCCUGAUGCAGCGACGCCGCGUGGGGGAUGAAGGCCUUCGGGUUGUAAACUCCUUUCGCUAUCGACGAAGCCACUUUGUGGUGACGGUAGGUAGAUAAGAAGCACCGGCCAACUACGUGCCAGCAGCCGCGGUAAUACGUAGGGUGCAAGCGUUGUCCGGAAUUACUGGGCGUAAAGAGCUCGUAGGUGGUUUGUCGCGUCGUCUGUGAAAUCCCGGGGCUUAACUUCGGGCGUGCAGGCGAUACGGGCAUAACUUGAGUGCUGUAGGGGAGACUGGAAUUCCUGGUGUAGCGGUGAAAUGCGCAGAUAUCAGGAGGAACACCGAUGGCGAAGGCAGGUCUCUGGGCAGUUACUGACGCUGAGGAGCGAAAGCAUGGGUAGCGAA